ACUCCUACGGGAGGCAGCAGUGGGGAAUAUUGGACAAUGGGGGCAACCCUGAUCCAGCCAUGCCGCGUGAGUGAUGACGGCCUUAGGGUUGUAAAGCUCUUUUCUCCGGGACGAUAAUGACGGUACCGGAGGAAUAAGCCCCGGCUAACUUCGUGCCAGCAGCCGCGGUAAUACGAAGGGGCGUAGCGUUGCUCGGAAUCACUGGGCGUAAAGGGCGCGUAGGCGGCUGAUUUAGUCGAGGGUGAAAGCCUGUGGCUCAACCACAGAAUUGCCUUCGAUACUGGUUGGCUUGAGACCGGAAGAGGACAGCGGAACUGCGAGUGUAGAGGUGAAAAUUCGUAGAUAUUCGCAAGAACACCAGUGGCGAAGGCGGCUGUCUGGUCCGGUUCUGACGCUGAGGCGCGAAAGACGUGGGGAGCG
Molecule: ribosomal RNA, 420 nt
Filed under: uncultured bacterium
Lineage: Bacteria
Description: bacterial SSU rRNA
Rfam family: Bacterial small subunit ribosomal RNA
Source: RNAcentral